Molecule: long non-coding RNA, 1378 nt
Organism: Heterocephalus glaber (naked mole-rat)
Lineage: Eukaryota; Metazoa; Chordata; Mammalia; Rodentia; Bathyergidae
Source: RefSeq, a predicted model, not a curated record
AGUGCUGGAAUUUCGGGCCCACGACUGACUUUACAAUAGUACUUACUUACUCUGUUAUCUCUAUAAACAUCCUCACUCUCACCAGUACUUUGUGACUGACAAUCCAUUACCUUUCAUCUGGGCAAUUCAACCUUGAGACUCAAAUGAUUCCUUAAGAGUUACAUGUCUAAUCGCUCCUUUUGAACUGUAAUGCAUUGGAAAGCAUACACCAUGAUCUAUACUUGUUUGAAUACUCUUCUCCUAUCUUAUUCUAAGUGUUGUGCACUUAGCACCUUAAAAUAAUUAACUAGGAAAGCACUCAUUUUUGAUGUCCAUUUCUUUAUGUUUAGUAACAGAGGACGGGACAUAGUUUGCAGAGUUGGAGGACAGAGUUGUCCUCCCAAGAGGAAGCUGAUUUGUAAUGUUUGGGGGGAGGGGGCCUGUUCCUGUGGCUGUGGCUGUUUUGUUUAGGGGAACCAUAUGCACUGGCUGGCUAAUUCACAGCCACGGCGAGUUGUCAGGGAGAGAAAGCACUGGAUCUACUGCACUCCACCUUCCUCUACCCAUUUUAGAGAGAGUAAGUUUAUCUUUCUGUCUUCCAGUCAUUUCAGAGCACAACUGGGAACCUGGUCGAUUGGCCAGGAGCACACUUUCUGACAGACUUUCCUCUUUUUAUCGAGUUUUCCUUUCCUCUGGCUUUGAACCUUUUCCACUGAGUCUUCACGACAUCGCCUGUGAUUUUAAGGUUAUGUGAAGCUGAGUGCCCUAAAGGGACCCACACCCCAGCGUGGACUUUUGGAGGCAGUAAAAAGGAGGUAAAAAUUUACCGAGGCUGGUGGCAGCGUGCAAACAAUGCUGGCAACGCGUUAAGGAGAGGAGAGUCUCGCUCCCCGCCCCGGCUACACUCGAAGAAAAGUCGGGGUGGGCAGCCAGGGGCAGGGAAAGGAGAAGACUGAUAAGGAAACUCUGGAGACGGCGGCGGAGACGGACAGACGGACAGACAGGAGAAGCUGAAGGGCUGCGAGGACAGACCUGAGGGGCGCCGGCGAUAUGCAGCCUGAGGCGCUAUGAGUUAGACGGAACAGCUUGAGUCCAGACACCUGCUGUUGGAGAAACAACAGAUCAACCGGUCACCAGACUCCAACAGAGCAUUUGGCACAAGUGAAAUCAAAGUCAUUGAAGUGAAUGAAUGAAUGAUGGUAAAUUUAUCUCCAUUACCCGGAUGAGGAAACAGGCUCAGAGGUCUUAACUGACUGUCCCAAGAACCUCUUGCACUGAAGGCGGGAUCUCCAUGGGGCAUAGACAUGGAGACUAAAUGGCUGCAGGAUUUAAACUGGAGAAAAGGGAAUCAAAACUUAUGAAUAUAGUUGUAUGUGGAAUAAAACUUUCAUGAAACAUU